This 585-nucleotide ribosomal RNA is filed under the name uncultured bacterium. Its description in RNAcentral is "partial 16S ribosomal RNA". It matches the Rfam family "Bacterial small subunit ribosomal RNA", at positions 355 to 937 of the family's 1533-position model. The record is from RNAcentral.
UGGGGAAUUUUGGACAAUGGGCGAAAGCCUGAUCCAGCAAUGCCGCGUGUGUGAAGAAGGCCUUCGGGUUGUAAAGCACUUUUGUCCGGAAAGAAAUGGCUCUGGUUAAUACCUGGGGUCGAUGACGGUACCGGAAGAAUAAGGACCGGCUAACUACGUGCCAGCAGCCGCGGUAAUACGUAGGGUCCAAGCGUUAAUCGGAAUUACUGGGCGUAAAGCGUGCGCAGGCGGUUGUGCAAGACCGAUGUGAAAUCCCCGAGCUUAACUUGGGAAUUGCAUUGGUGACUGCACGGCUAGAGUGUGUCAGAGGGGGGUAGAAUUCCACGUGUAGCAGUGAAAUGCGUAGAGAUGUGGAGGAAUACCGAUGGCGAAGGCAGCCCCCUGGGAUAACACUAACGCUCAUGCACGAAAGCGUGGGGAGCAAACAGGAUUAGAUACCCUGGUAGUCCACGCCCUAAACGAUGUCAACUAGUUGUUGGGGAUUCAUUUUCCUUAGUAACGUAGCUAACGCGUGAAGUUGACCGCCUGGGGAGUACGGUCGCAAGAUUAAAACUCAAAUGAAUUGACGGGGUCAUAGCUGUUUCC